This 408-nucleotide ribosomal RNA is filed under the name uncultured bacterium. Its description in RNAcentral is "bacterial SSU rRNA". It matches the Rfam family "Bacterial small subunit ribosomal RNA", at positions 28 to 426 of the family's 1533-position model. The record is from RNAcentral.
GAUGAACGCUGGCGGCGUGCCUAAUACAUGCAAGUCGAACGCACAGCGAAAGGUGCUUGCACCUUUCAAGUGAGUGGCGAACGGGUGAGUAACACGUGGAUAACCUACCUCAAGGUUGGGGAUAACAUUUGGAAACAGAUGCUAAUACCGAAUAAAACUUAGUAUCGCAUGAUACCAGGUUAAAAGGCGCUACGGCGUCACCUAGAGAUGGAUCCGCGGUGCAUUAGUUAGUUGGUGGGUAAAGGCUUACCAAGACAAUGAUGCAUAGCCGAGUUGAGAGACUGAUCGGCCACAUUGGGACUGAGACACGGCCCAAACUCCUACGGGAGGCUGCAGUAGGGAAUCUUCCACAAUGGGCGAAAGCCUGAUGGAGCAACGCCGCGUGUGUGAUGAAGGCUUUCGGGUCGU